Molecule: long non-coding RNA, 1200 nt
Filed under: Apteryx haastii (Great spotted kiwi)
Lineage: Eukaryota; Metazoa; Chordata; Aves; Apterygiformes; Apterygidae
Description: lncRNA (ENSAHAG00000018580.1)
Source: RNAcentral
AUGGUGGAGUUCAGGAUCCUGCGAGGAGGAGGCAGGGCACCAAGUAGGAUCGCAACCCUGGACUUCAGGAGACCAGACUUUGGCCUCUUCAGGGACCUAUUUGGGGGAAUCCCAUGGGUUAGGGCCCUAGAAGGAAGGGGGAUCCAAGAGAGCUGGUUAAUAUUCAAACAUCACUUCCUCCAAGCUCAAGAUUGGGGCAUCCUUACGAGUAAGAAGUCAAGCAAAGGAGGCAGGAGACCUGCAUGGAUGAGCAAGGAGCUCCUGGCAAAACUCAACCAGAAGAAGGAAGUAUACAGAAAGUGGAAAGGAGGACAGGCCACUUGGGAGGAAUAUAGGAACRYUGUCAGAGUAUGCAGGGWUGYGACGAGGAAGGCUAAGGCCCAUUUGGAAUUAAAUCUGGCGAGAGAUGUCAAGGACAGCAAGAAGGGCUUCUUCAAAUACAUCACUAGCAAGAGGAAGGCUAGGGAAAAUGUGGGCCCAUUGCUGAAUGGGGUGGGUGCCCUGGUGACGAAGGAUGCAGAGAAGGCAGAGUUACUGAAUGCCUUCUUUGCUUCAGUCUUUACUGCUCAGGCCAGCCCUCAGGAACCCCAGACCCUGGAGACCACAGAGAAAGUCUGGAGAAAGGAAGACUUUCCCUUGGUGGAGGAGGAUCAGGUUAGAGAUCAUUUAGGCAAAUCUAACACCCACAAAUCCAUGGGCCCUGAUGGGAUGCACCCACAAGUGCUGAGGGAGCUGGCGGAUGUUAUUGCUAAGCCACUCUCCAUCAUCUUUGAAAGGUCAUGGAGAACAGGAGAGGUGCCUGAAGACUGGAAGAAAGCCAAUGUCACCSCAGUCUUCAAAAAGGGCAAGAAGGAGGACCCAGGGAACUACAGGCCAGUCAGCCUCACCUCCAUCCCUAGAAACAUGAUGGAGGCCAUCUCCAAGCAUGUGGAGGASAAGAAGGUGAUCAGGAGUAGUCAGCAUGGCUUCACCAAGGGGAAAUCAUGCUUAACCAAUCUGAUAACCUCCUCUGAUGGAAUGACUGGCUGGGUAGAUGAGGGGAGAGCAGUGGAUGUUGUCUCCCUUGACUUCAGCAAGGCUUUUGACACUGUCUCCCAUAACAUCCUCAUAGACAAGCUCAGGAAGUGUGGGCUAGAUGAGUGGACAGCAAGGUGGAUUGAGAACUGGCUGAAUGGCAGUGAUCAGUGGUGCAGAGUCUAG